Molecule: transfer RNA, 75 nt
Filed under: Candidatus Peregrinibacteria bacterium CG10_big_fil_rev_8_21_14_0_10_55_24
Lineage: Bacteria; Candidatus Peregrinibacteriota
Also listed under: 3 other names
Description: tRNA-Gly
Rfam family: tRNA
About the family: Transfer RNA (tRNA) molecules are approximately 80 nucleotides in length.
Source: RNAcentral
GCGGGCGUCGUAUAAUGGCUAUUAUGUCAGCCUUCCAAGCUGAAGACGGCGGUUCGAUUCCGCUCGCCCGCUCCA